This 433-nucleotide ribosomal RNA is filed under the name uncultured bacterium. RNAcentral's name for it is "partial 16S ribosomal RNA". It matches the Rfam family "Bacterial small subunit ribosomal RNA", at positions 29 to 507 of the family's 1533-position model. The record is from RNAcentral.
AACGAACGCUGGCGGCAUGCCUAACACAUGCAAGUCGAACGAGACCUUCGGGUCUAGUGGCGCACGGGUGCGUAACGCGUGGGAACCUGCCCUUAGGUUCGGAAUAACUCCCCGAAAGGGGUGCUAAUACCGGAUAAUGUCUUCGGACCAAAGAUUUAUCGCCUUUGGAUGGGCCCGCGUUGGAUUAGUUAGUUGGUAGGGUAAAAGCCUACCAAGGGGACGAUCCAUAGCUGGUCUGAGAGGAUGAUCAGCCACACUGGGACUGAGACACGGCCCAGACUCCUACGGGAGGCAGCAGUGGGGAAUAUUGGACAAUGGGCGAAAGCCUGAUCCAGCAAUGCCGCGUGAGUGAUGAAGGCCUUAGGGUUGUAAAGCUCUUUUACCCGGGAUGAUAAUGACAGUACCGGGAGAAUAAGCUCCGGCUAACUCCGUG